AAUGAACGCUGGCGGCAGGCCUAACACAUGCAAGUCGAACGCCCCGCAAGGGGAGUGGCGCACGGGUGAGUAACGCGUGGGAAUAUGCCCUUCGGUUCGGAAUAACACAGGGAAACUUGUGCUAAUACCGGAUACGAUCUACGGAUGAAAGAUUCAUCGCCGAAGGAGUAGCCCGCGUAGGAUUAGCUAGAUGGUGAGGUAAUGGCUCACCAAGGCGACGAUCCUUAGCUGGUCUGAGGGGAUGAUCAGCCACACUGGGACUGGGACACGGCCCUAACUCCUACGGGAGGCAGGAGUGGGGAAUAUUGGGCAAUGGGCGAAAGCCUGGUCCAGCCAUGCCGCGUGAGUGAUGAAGGCCUUAGGGUUGUAAAGCUCUUUCGCCAGGGAAGAUAAUGACGGUACCUGGAAAAGAAGCCUCGGCUAACUCCGUGCCAGCCGCCGCAGUAA
Molecule: ribosomal RNA, 447 nt
Filed under: uncultured bacterium
Lineage: Bacteria
Description: partial 16S ribosomal RNA
Rfam family: Bacterial small subunit ribosomal RNA
Source: RNAcentral